RNAcentral lists this ribosomal RNA (466 nucleotides) under uncultured bacterium. RNAcentral's name for it is "partial 16S ribosomal RNA". It matches the Rfam family "Bacterial small subunit ribosomal RNA", at positions 338 to 795 of the family's 1533-position model. The record is from RNAcentral.
CCUACGGGAGACAGCAGUGGGGAAUAUUGCGCAAUGGGCGAAAGCCUGACGCAGCGACGCCGCGUGAGGGAUGAAGGUCUUCGGAUCGUAAACCUCUGUCAGCAGGGAAGAACGGUCACUGUGCUAAUCAGCAGUGAAUUGACGGUACCUGCAAAGGAAGCACCGGCUAACUCCGUGCCAGCAGCCGCGGUAAUACGGAGGGUGCGAGCGUUAAUCGGAAUUACUGGGCGUAAAGCGCUCGUAGGCGGUAUGUCAAGUCAAGGGGGAAAUCCCCGCGCUCAACGUGGGAACUGCCUUUGAAACUGGCAAACUGGAGUGUGUGAGAGGAUAGUGGAAUUCCAGGGGUAGGAGUGAAAUCCGUAGAUAUCUGGAGGAACAUCAGUGGCGAAGGCGACUAUCUGGCACAUAACUGACGCUGAGGAGCGAAAGCGUGGGUAGCAAACAGGAUUAGAUACCCCUGGUAGUC